RNAcentral lists this non-coding RNA (232 nucleotides) under Ligilactobacillus acidipiscis. RNAcentral's name for it is "Lactobacillus acidipiscis T-box sequence". It matches the Rfam family "T-box leader". Rfam says of the family: Uncharged tRNA acts as the effector for transcription antitermination of genes in the T-box leader family. T-boxes are found upstream of many aminoacyl-tRNA synthetase genes and some amino acid biosynthetic genes usually in Gram-positive bacteria. The record is from RNAcentral. Lineage: Bacteria; Bacillati; Bacillota; Bacilli; Lactobacillales; Lactobacillaceae.
GAAAAAACGUUGAAGAGAAGAGUAAUUUUCCUUAGUACAUUUAAAGAGACCUUCGGUGGCUGCAAAGAAGGAUGGAAAGAGAAAAUGAAGAUGAGCUCUGAAGUUGAUCGUUAGUGCAAGCUGAUGAUCCGCCGAUUGCGAUACCAUCACGGUCUUGUUUGAGACUAAGCGGCUAUUAUGAUAUCUAAAAGUAAUAGCAAUUAAGGUGGUACCACGGGUUUUCGUCCUUUGU